UACGGGGGGGGCAAGCGUUGUUCGGAAUUACUGGGCGUAAAGGGCUCGUAGGCGGCCAACUAAGUCAGACGUGAAAUCCCUCGGCUUAACCGGGGAACUGCAUCUGAUACUGGAUGGCUUGAGUUCGGGAGAGGGAUGCGGAAUUCCAGGUGUAGCGGUGAAAUGCGUAGAUAUCUGGAGGAACACCGGUGGCGAAGGCGGGUCUCUGGGCCGAUACUGACGCUGAGGAGCGAAAGCAUGGGUAGCGAACAGG
This 253-nucleotide ribosomal RNA is filed under the name uncultured bacterium. RNAcentral describes it as "partial 16S ribosomal RNA". It matches the Rfam family "Bacterial small subunit ribosomal RNA", at positions 524 to 776 of the family's 1533-position model. The record is from RNAcentral.